This 23-nucleotide small nuclear RNA is filed under the name Arabidopsis thaliana (thale cress). RNAcentral describes it as "snRNA_02096". The record is from RNAcentral. Lineage: Eukaryota; Viridiplantae; Streptophyta; Magnoliopsida; Brassicales; Brassicaceae.
CCUUGUAGAGAUGAUACUCUCCU